Molecule: unclassified non-coding RNA, 263 nt
Filed under: fungal sp.
Lineage: Eukaryota; Fungi
Description: partial internal transcribed spacer region
Rfam family: Eukaryotic small subunit ribosomal RNA (bases 1-46)
Source: RNAcentral
AAGUCGUAACAAGGUUUCCGUAGGUGAACCUGCGGAAGGAUCAUUAAAGAAAACAUUCUGGACGGUGACAUUGAUAUCGGCCAAGUGCCUGCAUGUCUGUCUCCUCUCCUAAUGUACUCAUGUGCACCAUUGCGCUCUGGAGUCAGAAACGACUACAGGCGUUUUUAUACACUCUUAAUAAUAUACAUUGAGGAAAAACACAUAAUAAAACUAUACAACCAUCAGCAACGGAUCUCUUGGCAUUCCACUCGAUGAAGAACCAG